Molecule: ribosomal RNA, 396 nt
Filed under: uncultured bacterium
Lineage: Bacteria
Description: bacterial SSU rRNA
Rfam family: Bacterial small subunit ribosomal RNA
Source: RNAcentral
AUUGAACGCUGGCGGCGUGCCUAACACAUGCAAGUCGAGCGGUAACAGGUGUAGCAAUACAUGCUGACGAGCGGCGAACGGGUGAGUAAUGCUUCGGAAUCUACCCAAUGGUGGGGAAUAACCAGCCGAAAGGUUGGCUAAUACCGCAUACGUCUCACGGGAGAAAGCAGGGGAUCGCAAGACCUUGCGCCAAUGGAUGAGCCGAAGUCGGAUUAGCUAGUGGUAGGGUAACGGCCUACCAAGGCGACGAUCCGUAGCUGGUCUGAGAGGACGACCAGCCACACUGGGACUGAGACACGGCCCAGACUCCUACGGGAGCAGCAGUGGGGAAUAUUGGACAAUGGGGGAAACCCUGAUCCAGCGACGCCGCGUGUGUGAAGAAGGCCUGCGGGUUGU